This 1158-nucleotide long non-coding RNA is filed under the name Oncorhynchus kisutch (coho salmon). Its description in RNAcentral is "lncRNA (ENSOKIG00005006574.1)". Lineage: Eukaryota; Metazoa; Chordata; Actinopteri; Salmoniformes; Salmonidae. The record is from RNAcentral.
UAUCUACUGUCCACCUCCCAGUACCAACAUAUCUAUCUACUGUCACCUCCCAGUACCAACAUAUCUAUCUACUGUCACCUCCCAGUACCAACAUAUCUAUCUACUGUCACCUCCCCAGUACCAACAUAUCUAUCUACUGUCACCUCCCAGUACCAACAUAUCUAUCUACUGUCACCUCCCAGUACCAACAUAUCUAUCUACUGUCACCUCCCAGUACCAACAUAUCUAUCUACUGUCACCCUCCCAGUACCAACAUAUCUAUCUACUGUCACCUCCCAGUACCAACAUAUCUAUCUACUGUCACCUCCCAGUACCAACAUAUCUAUCUACUGUCACCUCCCAGUACCAACAUAUCUAUCUACUGUCACCUCCCAGUACCAACAUAUCUAUCUACUGUCACCUCCCAGUACCAACAUAUCUAUCUACUGUCACCCUCCCAGUACCAACAUAUCUAUCUACUGUCACCUCCCAGUACCAACAUAUCUAUCUACUGUCACCUCCCAGUACCAACAUAUCUAUCUACUGUCACCUCCCAGUACCAACAUAUCAUAUCUAUCUACUGUCCACCUCCCAGUACCAACAUAUCUAUCUACUGUCACCUCCCAGUACCAACAUAUCUAUCUACUGUCACCUCCCAGUACCAACAUAUCUAUCUACUGUCACCUCCCAGUACCAACAUAUCUAUCUACUGUCACCUCCAGUACCAACAUAUCUAUCUACUGUCACCUCCCAGUACCAACAUAUCUAUCUACUGUCACCUCCCAGUACCAACAUAUCUAUCUACUGUCACCUCCCAGUACCAACAUAUCUAUCUACUGUCACCUCCCAGUACCAACAUAUCUAUCUACUGUCACCUCCCAGUACCAACAUAUCUAUCUACUGUCACCUCCCAGUACCAACAUAUCUAUCUACUGUCACCUCCCAGUACCAACAUAUCUAUCUACUGUCACCUCCCAGUACCUGUACCAACAUAUCUAUCUACUGUCACCUCCCAGUACCUGUACCAACAUAUCGAUCUACUGUCACCUCCCAGUACCUGUACCAACAUAUCGAUCUACUGUCACCCUCUCAGUACCUGUAGAAACAUAUCUAUCAGCUCAUGAUGACCAGAGAAGAUCCAACGUGAGUGUGCCAAAGGGCACCUUAUUCCCUAGAUAA